GGGUCAGUAGGUUGGUCGUGCCACCGGUACGUACUGGUCUCACUGAUUCCUCCUUCCUGAAGAACCGUAAUGCCAUCAAUUUGGUGUUGCGGGGAAACAGGACUGUUACUUUGAAAAAAUUAGAGUGUUUAAAGCAAGCUAACGCUUGAAUACAUUAGCAUGGAAUAAUGAAAUAGGACGAUCGAUCCUAUUUUGCUGGUUUCUAGGAUUGACGUA
RNAcentral lists this ribosomal RNA (216 nucleotides) under Glomeromycotina sp. RNAcentral's name for it is "partial small subunit ribosomal RNA". The stretch from base 44 to 216 matches the Rfam family "Eukaryotic small subunit ribosomal RNA", at positions 690 to 864 of the family's 1831-position model. The record is from RNAcentral. Lineage: Eukaryota; Fungi; Glomeromycota.